Molecule: ribosomal RNA, 253 nt
Filed under: uncultured bacterium
Lineage: Bacteria
Description: partial 16S ribosomal RNA
Rfam family: Bacterial small subunit ribosomal RNA
Source: RNAcentral
UACGGAGGAUGCAAGCGUUAUCCGGAAUGAUUGGGCGUAAAGCGUCCGCAGGUGGCUGUGUAAGUCUGCUGUUAAAGAGUGAGGCUCAACCUCAUAAAAGCAGUGGAAACUACACGGCUAGAGUGCGUUCGGGGCAGAGGGAAUUCCUGGUGUAGCGGUGAAAUGCGUAGAGAUCAGGAAGAACACCGGUGGCGAAGGCGCUCUGCUGGACCUUAACUGACACUGAGGGACGAAAGCUAGGGGAGCGAAUGGG